GAUGAACGCUGGCGGCGUGCUUAACACAUGCAAGUCGAACGAAAGGUUCUGAAUUCUUCGGAGCUAAGAGCUGGAAGUGGCGAACGGGUGAGUAAUACGUUGGUGACCUGCCCUGAGGUGGGGGACAACCGUGGGAAACUACGGCUAAUACCCCAGAUAUCUAAGAUGCUAGAGGUCUUAGAUUAAAGCUUCGGUACCUCGGGAGGGGCCAGCGGGCUAUCAGCUAGUUGGUGAGGUAANGGCUCACCAAGGCAAAGACGGCUAGGGGGCGUGAGAGCGCGAUCCCCCACAAUGGGACGUGAGACACGGCCCACUACUCCUACGGGAGGGCAGCAGUGAGGAAUAUUGCACAAUGGGGGCGAACCCUGAUGCAGCAACGCCGCGUGAACGAAGAAGGCCUCGGUU
Molecule: ribosomal RNA, 405 nt
Filed under: uncultured bacterium
Lineage: Bacteria
Description: bacterial SSU rRNA
Rfam family: Bacterial small subunit ribosomal RNA
Source: RNAcentral